UAAAACGUAGGGUGCAAGCGUUGUCCGGAAUUACUGGGUGUAAAGGGAGCGCAGGCGGACCGGCAAGUUGGAAGUGAAAACUAUGGGCUCAACCUAUGGAUUGCUUUCAAAACUGCUGGCCUUGAGUAGUGCAGAGGUAGGUGGAAUUCCCGGUGUAGCGGUGGAAUGCGUAGAUAUCGGGAGGAACACCAGUGGCGAAGGCGACCUACUGGGCACCAACUGACGCUGAGGCUCGAAAGCAUGGGUAGCAAACAGGAUUAGAUACCCUGGUAGUCCAUGCCGUAAACGAUGAUUACUAGGUGUUGGAGGAUUGACCCCUUCAGUGCCGCAGUUAACACAAUAAGUAAUCCACCUGGGGAGUACGACCGCAAGGUUG
This 376-nucleotide ribosomal RNA is filed under the name uncultured bacterium. RNAcentral describes it as "bacterial SSU rRNA". It matches the Rfam family "Bacterial small subunit ribosomal RNA", at positions 521 to 896 of the family's 1533-position model. The record is from RNAcentral.